Molecule: ribosomal RNA, 568 nt
Filed under: uncultured Streptomyces sp.
Lineage: Bacteria; Bacillati; Actinomycetota; Actinomycetes; Kitasatosporales; Streptomycetaceae
Also listed under: 1 other name
Description: bacterial SSU rRNA
Rfam family: Bacterial small subunit ribosomal RNA
Source: RNAcentral
CCUACGGGAGGCAGCAGUGGGGAAUAUUGCACAAUGGGCGAAAGCCUGAUGCAGCGACGCCGCGUGAGGGAUGACGGCCUUCGGGUUGUAAACCUCUUUCAGCAGGGAAGAAGCGCAAGUGACGGUACCUGCAGAAGAAGCACCGGCUAACUACGUGCCAGCAGCCGCGGUAAUACGUAGGGUGCGAGCGUUGUCCGGAAUUAUUGGGCGUAAAGAGCUCGUAGGCGGCCUGUUGCGUCGGUUGUGAAAGCCCGGGGCUUAACCCCGGGUCUGCAGUCGAUACGGGCAGGCUAGAGUUCGGUAGGGGAGAUCGGAAUUCCUGGUGUAGCGGUGAAAUGCGCAGAUAUCAGGAGGAACACCGGUGGCGAAGGCGGAUCUCUGGGCCGAUACUGACGCUGAGGAGCGAAAGCGUGGGGAGCGAACAGGAUUAGAUACCCUGGUAGUCCACGCCGUAAACGUUGGGAACUAGGUGUGGGUCACAUUCCACGUGGUCCGUGCCGCAGCUAACGCAUUAAGUUCCCCGCCUGGGGAGUACGGCCGCAAGGCUAAAACUCAAAUGAAUUGACGG